Felis catus (domestic cat) is the source of this 85-nucleotide transfer RNA. It matches the Rfam family "tRNA". Rfam says of the family: Transfer RNA (tRNA) molecules are approximately 80 nucleotides in length. Their secondary structure includes four short double-helical elements and three loops (D, anti-codon, and T loops). NCBI's taxonomy places the organism in Eukaryota, Metazoa, Chordata, Mammalia, Carnivora, Felidae. The record is from Rfam.
GCCUGGGUGGCUCAGUCGGUGAAGCGCCCGACUUCAGCUCAGGUCAUGAUCUCUCAGUUCGUGGGUUCGAGCCCCGCGUCGGGCU